GGAUCGACUAUGUCGAAUAAAAUUCUAGGUAGAAUUAUGAUAAUGACAUUGUCUGCCUAUGUGUCUUGACCAAAUUACGUGCCNGCAGUCGCGGUAAUACGUAGAAGACUAGUGUUAUUCAUGUUUAAUCGGUUUAAAGGGUACCUAGACGGUAAAUCAAGCCUAAAAUUAAAUGAAGGGACUAAUUUACUAGAGUUACUUAUGAGGGGGUAUUAAAGUACUGCUGGUGUAGAGAUGAAAUUCUGUCAUACCUCUUUUCAAUAGAAAAACAAUGGCACAGGUAUAGGCGAAAGCAUCCCCUUAUGUGAUAACUGACGUUGAGGGACGAAGGCUUUGUGUAGCGAACAGGAUUAGAUACCCCAGUAGUCAAAGCAGAAAAUGAUGAAUGUCAUAGAUUAGAUAAAUAAGUUUAUUCUAUAAAUGAAAGUGUAAGCAUUCCACCUCAAGAGUAAUUUGGCAACAUUGGAACUGAAAUCAUUAGACCGUUUCUGAAACCAGUAGUGAAGUAUGUUGUUUAAUUUGAUGAUCCGCAAAAAACCUUACCACAAUUUGAAUAUUUAUAUUUUUUUAUUGUUUUCUUUUUAAUUUUCUUCUGAUUUGAUUUUUCUAAAGAAAAAAAGAAAAAGAGGCGAUAUGAUAUAUUUACAAGCGUUGCACGGCUGUCUUCAGUUAAUGUCGCGAGACUUUGGUUAGUUCCAUUAAAUUAACGUAAACCCUUACUUUAUUUUUAUAUAGAGUAGUUCCCCGCUAUAUUGGAUAUGAUAAC
This 766-nucleotide ribosomal RNA is filed under the name Hypogymnia gracilis. RNAcentral's name for it is "mitochondrial SSU rRNA". It matches the Rfam family "Bacterial small subunit ribosomal RNA", at positions 410 to 1149 of the family's 1533-position model. Lineage: Eukaryota; Fungi; Ascomycota; Lecanoromycetes; Lecanorales; Parmeliaceae. The record is from RNAcentral.